Molecule: unclassified non-coding RNA, 377 nt
Filed under: plant metagenome
Description: partial contains 5.8S ribosomal RNA, internal transcribed spacer 2, and large subunit ribosomal RNA
Rfam family: 5.8S ribosomal RNA (bases 1-105)
Source: RNAcentral
GAAAUGCGAUAAGUAAUGUGAAUUGCAGAAUUCAGUGAAUCAUCGAAUCUUUGAACGCACCUUGCGCUCCUUGGUAUUCCUUGGAGCAUGCCUGUUUGAGUAUCAUGAAAUCUUCAAAGUAAAUCUUUUGUUAACUCAAUUGGUUUCUACUUUGGUAUUGGAGGUCUUUGCAGCUUCACACCUGCUCUCUUUGUUCAUUAGCUGGAUCUCAGUGUUAUGCUUGGUUCCACUCGGCGUGAUAAGUUAUCUAUCGCUGAGGACACUGUAAAAGGUGGCCAAGGUAAAUGCAGAUGAACCGCUUCUAAUAGUCCAUUGACUUGGACAAUACUUUUAUGAUCUGAUCUCAAAUCAGGUAGGACUACCCGCUGAACUUAAGC